Molecule: long non-coding RNA, 1245 nt
Organism: Nematostella vectensis (starlet sea anemone)
Lineage: Eukaryota; Metazoa; Cnidaria; Anthozoa; Actiniaria; Edwardsiidae
Exons: 2
Source: RefSeq, a predicted model, not a curated record
UUGAACCGUGUUCGCUCAGCCAACCUAAUAUUACUCGUAGUUGCGAGUUUAUUUCCUCGGUCGCCUGCGGCGUCGGGACUUUAACUAAUCAUCCCUCAGUUGCGGGGACAUUUAAUCACUAAAUUCCCCUCGUGCCAUGCUAUAACUUAUAAUAAUCCAGCAUGAUUUUGACUGUUAUCGAGCUUUGGCAAAAUUACUUCAAAAUCACUCAACCACGCAGGUGCUCCUGUACGAAGGCUCUCUUACGUUGUAAGCAGUCAGCGUUGAGUAAGUCUUUGCAUCUCUCGUGGCACUUGACACCGCAAUCUGCGCAGUGCGCAUCACGUCACCUCUGCAUUUGAGUCCCUGCCAGGCCAGGCCCCACAGUAGUCCCUCGCACUCGUAGCAGUACGCGGGAACCUGGGUCGAGAAGCUUUCAAAGUUAUGCGGAGUUGUGUCUGCAACAGAAAAGAGUCGUUUAGAAGGACAAUAACACACAAAUACCCAAAGAAAAUAUUUCUAUGAUUCGAAGAACAUAGUGUGAAGACCCUUUGUCUAAAAGGCCGCUAGGCCCCUCACACAUCAUAAACCAUCCUAUCAAAUGUAUAUGCUGUCAUUCAUCUAGAUGGAAUGUAUACGAGAACUGGUGCGAAAAUGUGGAAUGCAUUGGAAAAUAAGGGGCUACUCAAAAUAGGUUCCACGAAAAACGAGCUUUUUGGAUGGCAAAUUCGCGUGCGUUCCAACUUUUGGUGCGAAAUAACAACAACAAAAAUAAACUUUUGUUCAGCGCUUUCGGAUUAGCCAGAAAUAUCCAGAAAAGGCUUAUUCUUAUAGAAAGAUUUUAUAUUUGUUCGCUCUGUGAGGUGACGACCGCAUUCACUCCUCUCCAAAAGGAUUCUUACUGUCUUAAGAACCGUAGCCAGAGUUGAUCUGGAGCUGAAACUUGUUGGGGUUUGUUCUCAUUUGCGGUAUUAUUAUCUCGCGUGUGAUUGGCUGAUCUAAAUACAUCUAUUUCAAUUAGGGUCACAAGCCAGUCAUCACCCGCAGUGGCUUUUGGGUAAUGUAUAAAUUCUAGUCUCUGGAGUCAAUAUUUACUGGAAGGUACGGCUUUCCAAACCUGGAUUAGUUUUUUUUUUGCGCUUAUUUGCCUUUUUGUUUGAUACCCAUAAAACACUGCGGGUUACGACACAUGAAUUCUCAGAGUGCUAUCUUAUCUGAAAUACGCUACGAGUUAAAUCAGCUGGUGGAGCUGUUUUUUCGCAUUUC